UAGCUAGUUGGUGAGGUAAAGGCUUACCAAGGCGACGAUCUGUAGCGGGUCUGAGAGGAUGAUCCGCCACACUGGAACUGAGACACGGUCCAGACUCCUACGGGAGGCAGCAGUGGGGAAUUUUGGACAAUGGGGGCAACCCUGAUCCAGCCAUGCCGCGUGAGUGAAGAAGGCCUUCGGGUUGUAAAGCUCUUUCGGCCGGGAAGAAAUCGCAUGGGCCAAUACCCUGUGUGGAUGACGGUACCGGAAUAAGAAGCACCGGCUAACUACGUGCCAGCAGCCGCGAUAAUACGUAGGGUGCGAGCGUUAAUCGGAAUUACUGGGCGUAAAGCGUGCGCAGGCGGUUUUGUAAGACAGGCGUGAAAUCCCCGGGCUUAACCUGGGAACUGCGUUUGUGACUGCAAGGCUAGAGUACGGCAGAGGGGGGUGGAAUUCCACGUGUAGCAGUGAAAUGCGUAGAGAUGUGGAGGAACACCAAUGGCGAAGGCAGCCCCCUGGGUCGAUACUGACGCUCAUGCACGAAAGCGUGGGUAGCAAACAGGAUUAGAUACCCUGGUAGUCCACGCCCUAAACUAUGUCAACUAGGUGUUGGGUGGGUAAAACCAUUUAGUACCGUAGCUAACGCGUGAAGUUGACCGCCUGGGGAGUACGGCCGCAAGGUUAAAACUCAAAGGAAUUGACGGGGACCCGCACAAGCGGUGGAUGAUGUGGAUUAAUUCGAUGCAACGCGAAAAACCUUACCUACCCUUGACAUGCCAGGAACUUGCCAGAGAUGGCUUGGUGCCCGAAAGGGAGCCUGGACACAGGUGCUGCAUGGCUGUCGUCAGCUCGUGUCGUGAGAUGUUGGGUUAAGUCCCGCAACGAGCGCAACCCUUGUCGUUAAUUGCCAUCAUUUAGUUGGGCACUUUAACGAGACUGCCGGUGACAAACCGGAGGAAGGUGGGGAUGACGUCAAGUCCUCAUGGCCCUUAUGGGUAGGGCUUCACACGUUAUACAAUGGUCGGUACAAAGGGUUGCCAAGCCGCGAGGCGGAGCCAAUCCCAGAAAGCCGAUCGUAGUCCGGAUUGCAGGCUGCAACUCGCCUGCAUGAAGUCGGAAUCGCUAGUAAUCGUGGAUCAGCAUGUCACGGUGAAUACGUUCCCGGGUCUUGUACACACCGCCCGUCACACCAUGGGAGCGGGUUCCGCCAGAAGUAGGUAGCCUAACCGCAAGGGGGGCGCUUACCACGGCGGGGUUCGUGACUGGGGUGAAGUCGGAACAAGGUAGCCGUAGGGGAACCUGCGGCUG
RNAcentral lists this ribosomal RNA (1287 nucleotides) under metagenome. RNAcentral describes it as "bacterial SSU rRNA". It matches the Rfam family "Bacterial small subunit ribosomal RNA", at positions 242 to 1520 of the family's 1533-position model. The record is from RNAcentral.